AGGACGAACGCUGGCGGCGUGCCUAACACAUGCAAGUCGAACGGAGAUUAUUAUGUGGAAGUUUCGGAUGAAAGCAAGUAAUCUUAGUGGCGGACGGGUGAGUAACGCGUGGGUGACCUACCCAUAAGUGGGGAAUAACAGUUGGAAACGACUGCUAAUACCGCAUAAGCUGCGAAAGCAGUAAAGGAGGCCUCUUUUUUAAAGCUUCCGCUUAUGGAUGGGCCCGCGUCUGAUUAGCUAGUUGGCAGGGUAACGGCCUACCAAGGCGACGAUCAGUAGCCGGCCUGAGAGGGUGAACGGCCACACUGGGACUGAGACACGGCCCAGACUCCUACGGGAGGCAGCAGUGGGGAAUAUUGCGCAAUGGGGGAAACCCUGACGCAGCGACGCCGCGUGAAGCGAAGAAGGCCUUAGGGUCGUAAAGCUCUGUUUUAAGGGACGAAUGUUCAUGGAAGUAAUAUGUCCGUGAAAUGACGGUACCUUAAGAGGAAGCCCCGGCUAACUACGUGCCAGCAGCCGC
RNAcentral lists this ribosomal RNA (520 nucleotides) under uncultured bacterium. RNAcentral's name for it is "bacterial SSU rRNA". It matches the Rfam family "Bacterial small subunit ribosomal RNA", at positions 26 to 518 of the family's 1533-position model. The record is from RNAcentral.